UGCCGGCAGCCGCGAGGGCCCGUGGGCGGACGGGUGGGCCGGCCGCCGAGGUGGGGAGAGCCGCGGGCCGCCACUGAGGCUGGAGGUGAGCCGGAAUGAGGCCAGACCGCGACUCUCCUUCCUCCCGAAGGAAACUUUCCCACGGUUCCGCCGAGGUGCAGUCCUCAGCCGGGAGAAGCUGCUGGUGCCCGGUGCGGGAUCUCCAAGUUGAUUCUUGACUCUCAAGCAGCCUCACCUGUGGGGGCCAUCCCACAUGCCCUAGGCCAACCUCUGGUUCCCAGAUUUACCAAAUAAAAAUACAGGAUGGCAGCUACCCAGUGCAUCUCCCAUCUGGAUGUGACUGUCUCAAAGUCUUGUAGUAUGGGAACAUUGACAUUACUGUGAAAAAGCCAAUACCACUCAAAAACAAAGGAGCCAAUCAACUCAGAUGGCCUCGUCUCCCACAAACUAAGGAUUUAGAUUACUGUUGCAAGUCUGCUUUGGACAUUCUGUUUAUUCUGAGAAGAAAUACCCUGUAUGGAUAGAAGAGACCCCAUCUAAAGAGCCCCGGACUGAUUCUGACCCAAACCCAAGGGUUUAAGUGGAACCAAAACAUCCGAAGGAAUGCUGCCAGAAUGACUGACUAUGAUACCAGAUAGCUUCCUGUUUUUCCUGGCUGACAAUCCUCCUGUGUACAGAGUCUGAUUCCUCAUCCAUCAGUAGCAGGUUCUGGGGCCAACCCAGGAGAUUUCAUUCCUUCCCUCUUAGUGUCUAAUUUCGACUCUUCCUUGAUAACCAAUAAAAUCUGUAUCACAAAGCUUAUUCUCUCUAAUUGGCUUUUUAACUUUCUCUCUAGGCAGGUCUGGAUUUGUCCCACUAGCUGAUGUCCACUGUAAGGGAGGUAUUCUUUGUGCCAUAGAAGCCUUGGAAAUGGAAACAGCAGUGCAAUCUGGUCACACAUGACCGAGUAAACCUAUUGAUCCAAAGGCCAAAUGAUCAAUUUUGUUUGAAAGACAAGUAGGCUAACUGGGAAAAAAAGAUUCUUCUUCUAGGAGCCCCAUUCAAGAGCACACUGGCUCCACAUGUUUAGUCUUGGUUCUGUCUUUGUAUAACCAUAGCACUCGAAGGACUUGACCAGGGAUGUUGGUGUAGGGAGUCUUUAAAGCUAGUAAUAUGGAGCCUUGGUGGAGUUGAUUCUCCACUGAUCUCUGAAGUUGACUUGAUUUCAUCCAUUCUAGCUUUAAGGCCACUACUAUCUUCUGGUUCUGCAACUUCCAUUCUCAUCAGCUAAAAAGAAGCUAUGGGAUCAAAAGUCUAAAGGGUGAGGAUAUCUGAAAUUUUUCCUAUUUUACCACUCACUUUCAGUGUUAUGUUUCAGUUUUCCUCAACUAAAAUAGGAAAAUUAUCCCAGGAAUAUAGUUAAAAUAACAUCUGUGAGACAAUUUGAGAGUCUUAGAAUCUUUUUUUUUUCAAGAUUUUUUUUUAUUUUUAAGUAAUUAUACCCAACAUGGGGUUCGAACUUACAACCCCAAGGUCGACAGUUGCAUGCUCUACCUGAGCCAGCCAGGCGCCCCUAGAAUCUUUAAAUUAGAGGAAAUCUUAGAAGUCAUUUAACCUGGUAUUUCCCAACCAGAGGAAUAAUUUUUUUUUCCGAAUUCAUUUCCUUUAUCCCCAACCCUCCUCCUGAAAAGCCUCUCUCUUCCUUCUUCCUCAACCCCUCCUGGUAUCCAAGGUAGAGAACUGAUCUAGUUUGCACAAUAUAUUUCAUGUGCUUAGGGUUGUGAAACAGUGCCCUAAUUCAGCUCCCUAUUUCAUGCAAUAGUCAUUCCAACAGUCCCAACAAGUUGAUAUCUCGCUUUUACUUGAGUAACUCAUGUUGGGAAAGUUGCCACCUCAGGCAACCCAUUCCAGUUUUGGACAGCAGUGGUUUGUCAGGGAGUUUUUCAUUAUUUGAACUGGAACUCCCCCACUGUAUCUUCCACCCGUUGGUCCCAGCUCUGCCCUUUGAAACCACAGGGAAGUUGUCUAAUCCCUUUAUAAAGGGCAGAAGGGAAUACCCAGGAUUGUUAUUGUUAACCUGUCACAGUAGUUCAGACCUGACCUGAAUGAUUGUAUUACAGAUGUCCUGUGCUUUGUACACUAGCUAUGUUCCUAACACAUUGUGUAAAUCUAGUUGUGUGUGAAUCAAAUCAUUUUAGACACACUGAGACGUUGACUGUCUAAAAGAAAUCCUGUUACCUGUCCUUUCAUAAACUGAAGAACUUUGUUAUAAUGCAAAGAACCUCCCCAUUAAACUUUUCUGCAAAUCUA
This is a long non-coding RNA of Panthera uncia (snow leopard), 2289 nucleotides long. RefSeq lists it as uncharacterized. NCBI's taxonomy places the organism in Eukaryota, Metazoa, Chordata, Mammalia, Carnivora, Felidae. The record is from RefSeq and is a predicted model, not a curated record. The transcript is spliced from 4 exons.